RNAcentral lists this long non-coding RNA (498 nucleotides) under Ictidomys tridecemlineatus (thirteen-lined ground squirrel). RNAcentral describes it as "lncRNA (ENSSTOG00000031387.1)". The record is from RNAcentral. Lineage: Eukaryota; Metazoa; Chordata; Mammalia; Rodentia; Sciuridae.
ACACAACAUCUUCGUUUGUAUGUGGUGCUGAGGAUCGAACCCGGGCCGCACGCACGCUAGGCUAGCGCACUACCGCUUGAGCCACAUCCCCAGCCUGCAAGGACAUCUUUAUAGGUGGGUAACUCAUUUGAUUUUGGAGUUCCUUUAAUUCUUCUGAAAGAUUUCAAAGCCUCCAGAAUCCAAAAUGGGACACGGUAAACAGAUUAGAAUUUUACUACUGAACGAAAUGGAAAAGCUGGAAAAGACCCUCUUCAGACUUGAACAAGCCAUCUCAUGUGUUACCCCCAAUGCCAACCCUCCUCUUCUUCCAACUUGGUGUGGCACUUAAGAUCACCAAGUACUUACUCCAUUUUUGGCUUUCCUGACUCUGCACUUUUCUGGUUUUGACUAUUUUUUCCUCUUUUCCCUCUUAAUAUUCCUGUCAACUUAAUGUGUCUCACUGGACUCCCUUCUACAUUUUAAUUAAUUGCAAGUAUCUGCUAGGAAUCCUUUUUUUCU